UACGAAGGGGGCUAGCGUUGCUCGGAAUUACUGGGCGUAAAGGGCACGUAGGCGGCUUCUUAAGUCGGUGGUGAAAUCCUGGAGCUCAACUCCAGAACUGCCUUCGAUACUGGGAAGCUCGAGUCCGGGAGAGGUGAGUGGAACUGCGAGUGUAGAGGUGAAAUUCGUAGAUAUUCGCAAGAACACCAGUGGCGAAGGCGGCUCACUGGCCCGGUACUGACGCUGAGGUGCGAAAGCGUGGGGAGCAAACAGG
RNAcentral lists this ribosomal RNA (253 nucleotides) under uncultured bacterium. Its description in RNAcentral is "partial 16S ribosomal RNA". It matches the Rfam family "Bacterial small subunit ribosomal RNA", at positions 524 to 776 of the family's 1533-position model. The record is from RNAcentral.